This 68-nucleotide transfer RNA is filed under the name Kineococcus rhizosphaerae. Its description in RNAcentral is "tRNA-Pro". It matches the Rfam family "tRNA". From Rfam's summary of the family: Transfer RNA (tRNA) molecules are approximately 80 nucleotides in length. Their secondary structure includes four short double-helical elements and three loops (D, anti-codon, and T loops). Lineage: Bacteria; Bacillati; Actinomycetota; Actinomycetes; Kineosporiales; Kineosporiaceae. The record is from RNAcentral.
UGGGGCGUCGAGUACCUGCUGCUUCGUUCGGGACGAAGAGGCCGCAGGUUCAAAUCCUGUCACCCCGA